AGCGUGGAGACAGGUGGUGCAUGGCUGUCGUCAGCUCGUGUCGUGAGAUGUUGGGUUAAGUCCCGCAACGAGCGCAACCCUCACCUCUUGUUGCCAUCAGGUCAUGCUGGGCACUCUAGAGGAACUGCCCCGGUCAACGGGGAGGAAGGCGGGGAUGACGUCAAGUCAUCAUGCCCCUUACGCCCUGGGCUACACACGUGCUACAAUGGCCAGUACAAAGGGACGCGAGACCGCGAGGUGGAGCUAAUCCCAAAAAAGUGGCCUAAGUUCAGAUUGCAGUCUGCAACUCGACUGCAUGAAGGAGGAAUCGCUAGUAAUCGCGCAUCAGCCCGGCGCGGUGAAUACGUUCCCGGGCCUUGUACACACCGCCCGUCACACCACGAAAGCUGUCUGUACUCGAAGUCGCUGAG
RNAcentral lists this ribosomal RNA (410 nucleotides) under uncultured Methylomirabilota bacterium. RNAcentral describes it as "bacterial SSU rRNA". It matches the Rfam family "Bacterial small subunit ribosomal RNA", at positions 1025 to 1434 of the family's 1533-position model. Lineage: Bacteria; Methylomirabilota (SeqCode). The record is from RNAcentral.